AUAGGAACUUUGGCGGAGCCACCCUGCUUCUCCUCCCUCACUUUGUUAAAAAUGUCAGAGUAAUUUUCAGCUGAGGAAGGAUUGUUUUCAUCCCAGGCUCCGAAUGGAGGCACUGUUGAGCUUUUCUCAGGUAUGUCAUCGCCUUGACCAAUAGUCCUCAAUUUAGGCCUUCCUGGGGUGAUUGGAAGUGCGUGGCUACCUUCUGCUGAACCCCUCCUUUCCCAAGGAGAAGAACCCACACCUCUGCCAGCAGAUUUCACUUGAUACUGAGGAUGAAGGGGAGAACUCUCUAUGCUUCGAUCCGCUGAUCCACCAUUUGUUUUGUACAUCUUUCUCUGGGGCUCACCUGAAGUUGUUCGGU
RNAcentral lists this unclassified non-coding RNA (361 nucleotides) under Hevea brasiliensis (rubber tree). Lineage: Eukaryota; Viridiplantae; Streptophyta; Magnoliopsida; Malpighiales; Euphorbiaceae. The record is from RNAcentral.